This is a non-coding RNA of Chlorocebus sabaeus (green monkey), 1373 nucleotides long. Lineage: Eukaryota; Metazoa; Chordata; Mammalia; Primates; Cercopithecidae. The record is from RefSeq and is a predicted model, not a curated record.
AUGUGUAGCAAAGUGGAGAAGGACCUGGUAGGAAAAAACAUAGUAUAUAAAAGGUUUGGCCGUCGAUCAGCGAGGGAGCAGCAAACGGCCGGCGGCUGCAGCCUCGCAGCGGCGGAGGCGUCGCCGCAUCUUGGACGGUUCUUCUGCCACUGCUGCUCCUUGAACAUCGUCCUGCGCCUGUCAGAUUAUAUCUGCCCAAGAUGCACGUCUGAUUUUAUCGAGGAGCUUCCUGAAGAGACCAGGGGCACAGAAAACGAUUCUACUCCUGCCACCGCCCCCACAGACCAGAGCCGACCGCCGCUGGAGAACUUUGACCAGCACCUGUCCACGCUGCCGCAGGGCUACGGACAGUUUGCUUUCGGCAUCUUUGACGACAGCUUCGAGAUCCCCACGUUCCCUCCUGGGGCGCAGGCUGACGGCAGCAAGGACCCUGAGAGACCGUGGGAGAGAGUCCUGGCCCCGUACCCAGCCGGGCAUCCCCGUCUCCGCCUCCCCACGCGGCGGGCCACUGCCCGGCACAAAGGCCUCCCCGCGCUAGAAGGGAUCAUCCAGCAGCUCGUCAACGGUAUCGUCACGUCCGCCACCAUCCCCAGCCUGGAUCCUUGGGGAGUCCUGCACUCAAACCCUACGGAAAACGCCUGAGGGGCCAACGGCCUGGACGCCAUCGCACAGCUCCUCGGCUUGAAAACACGGGCCCCCCACCGGCAGAUGAAGAGAAAAUCCAGUCCCUCCCCACUGUCCCCGUCACUGAGCAGCACGUAGGCUCCCGGCUCGAGUGCCCCGUGUGCAAGGACGACGACCCGCUGGGCGAGCAGCUGCCCUGCAAACACCUGUUCCACGAUGGCUGCAUCGUGCACGGGCUGGAGCAGUACGACAGCUGCCCCGCCUGCCGAAAAAGCCUCCCGGGACAGAACACGGCCACGAACCCACCCCCUCGGGCCUGACUGGGAUGAACUUCUCCUCCUCGUUGUCCUCCUCCUCCUCCAGCUCGCCCUGCAACGAGAACGCCACAAGUAACUCCCGAGCCCGCGACGGCCGGAACCCACCCGCGCCCGCUGCGCCUGAGACUGCGGGGAGACCGCGGGGCCUUUCCCACCCACCUCAGCCAGCGCCACACGGCGCCCACAGACUGGGUGCCCCAGCGGCGCCACUCUUGACUGGUCAGCGUUACAGGCCCCGCCUGUUCCAGGGCAGGAUCCUGGCCUGGCCCACCGGCUCCCUGGCUCGGGAAGACGUGGGCCACAUCGUCCCUUCUGGGGCAUCCUCAUCCUCCCUGUCCUCCGUCUAACCUCACCCUCUAAACGUUCAGCGGUGGAAAGAUUUUUAUAAUUUUAAAUUAUUAUUGCUUUGAAAUAAAUGGAAGUUUUAGCUCA